GAUGAACGCUGGCGGCGUGCCUAAUACAUGCAAGUCGAGCGAACAGAUAAGGAGCUUGCUCCUUUGACGUUAGCGGCGGACGGGUGAGUAACACGUGGGUAACCUACCUAUAAGACUGGAAUAACUCCGGGAAACCGGGGCUAAUGCCGGAUAACAUUUAGAACCGCAUGGUUCUAAAGUGAAAGAUGGUUUUGCUAUCACUUAUAGAUGGACCCGCGCCGUAUUAGCUAGUUGGUAAGGUGACGGCUUACCAAGGCAACGAUACGUAGCCGACCUGAGAGGGUGAUCGGCCACACUGGAACUGAGACACGGUCCAGACUCCUACGGGAGGCAGCAGUAGGGAAUCUUCCGCAAUGGGCGAAAGCCUGACGGAGCAACGCCGCGUGAGUGAUGAAGGCCUUCGGAUCGUAAAACUCUGUUAUUAGGGAAGAACAAAUGUGUAAGUAACUGUGCACGUCUUGACGGUACCUAAUCAGAAAGCCACGGCUAACUACGUG
RNAcentral lists this ribosomal RNA (497 nucleotides) under uncultured bacterium. RNAcentral describes it as "partial 16S ribosomal RNA". It matches the Rfam family "Bacterial small subunit ribosomal RNA", at positions 28 to 507 of the family's 1533-position model. The record is from RNAcentral.